GAUGAACGCUGGCGGCGUGCCUAACACAUGCAAGUCGAACGAGAACCCAUUCUUCGGAUUGGGGGACAGUGGCGAACGGGUGAGUAACACGUUGGUGACCUGCCCCGAAGUGAGGGACAAUCCUGCGAAAGCGGGGCUAAUACCGCAUGUGCUCUAGGGGGUUAGAGGCCCCUGGAGUAAAGCUCCGGCGCUUCGGGAGGGCCUGCGGCCUAUCAGCUAGUUGGUGGGGUAACGGCUCACCAAGGCUAAGACGGGUAGGGGGCGUGAGAGCGUGGCCCCCCACAAUGGAACUGAGACACGGUCCAUACUCCUACGGGAGGCAGCAGUGAGGAAUAUUGCGCAAUGGGGGAAACCCUGACGCAGCAACGCCGCGUGGGUGAUGAAGGCCUUCGGGUCGUAAAACCCUUUUCUGGGGGAAGAGAAAGGACGGUACCUCAGGAAUAAGUCCCGGCUAACUACGUG
Molecule: ribosomal RNA, 462 nt
Filed under: uncultured bacterium
Lineage: Bacteria
Description: bacterial SSU rRNA
Rfam family: Bacterial small subunit ribosomal RNA
Source: RNAcentral